Molecule: ribosomal RNA, 254 nt
Filed under: uncultured bacterium
Lineage: Bacteria
Description: partial 16S ribosomal RNA
Rfam family: Bacterial small subunit ribosomal RNA
Source: RNAcentral
UACGUAGGGUGCAAGCGUUGUCCGGAAUUAUUGGGCGUAAAGAGCUCGUAGGCGGUCUGUUACGUCCGCUGUGAAAACCCAGGGCUUAACCCUGGGCUUGCAGUGGAUACGGGUAGACUAGAGGCAGGUAGGGGAGAAUGGAAUUCCCGGUGUAGCGGUGAAAUGCGCAGAUAUCGGGAAGAACACCCGUGGCGAAGGCGGCUCUCUGGGACGGUACUGGACGCUGAGACGCGAAAGCGUGGGGAGCGAACAGG